RNAcentral lists this long non-coding RNA (4989 nucleotides) under Olea europaea subsp. europaea. Lineage: Eukaryota; Viridiplantae; Streptophyta; Magnoliopsida; Lamiales; Oleaceae. The record is from RNAcentral.
CCCCUCUCAUCAUCUAUAAUAUGGUCGCCUCCUUGCGGUAAUGGCAUCUUGGUUUUCUCAUAGUUUCUCUAGGUACUUUUAGUAGGGUAUUUUAAUGGUUUUUAGAGUUAUUUUCUUCUUUGGAUUCUCGGACGUUUUCGAGAACUUCUGAUUAAUUGUUUAUCUCCUGAACCGUUAUGACGAUUCCGUUAUUUUCCUUCUUUUGUGGGUUUUUUCUUCCUUGCUUCUGCUCUUGGCGUUUUGGUGGCCAUCCCAACUUUAGGUAAUUUGAAUUGAUUUCACUAAAUUAGAAUGGGAAAUUUUAAUUGUUUAAUGAAAAGUUUUCUACCUAAUAGAUCGUGUUUUUGCUCAAACUUCUGAUUUCUUGUUUAUCCGCUGAUUUUUUGAUGAUCGAUAUACUAAAAAUUAUUCUCUGGAAGAGAAGGUUUUUGGUGCGAUUACCUGGUCUCUUGAGUGGUAUUCUGGAAUUUUCUGGAUAUUGAAUAUUUUAAUCUUUGAUCUUUCUCAUAAUUCUUUGGUGGUUUUAGCCCGUUUGGUAUCAUUUUGUGGGUAUUUCUUUCUUCCUUUGCGGAUUUUUGCUUUUGGUACUGUUGAGCGUUCAAUGUUUUGGUAAUUUGAACUGAUUUCGAUUACUGGAUUGAGUGUGGAGAAUUUUAUGUAUGAUGGAGUUUUUGGCCCCCCCCCCCCCCCCCCCCCCCCCCCCCCCGGAUUCUCAUAUCUUUGCAAGUACUUUUAUUUCUCGUUUAUUUCCUGAAUGCUAAACGUCCUGUUAUGAUGAUUAGAUAUAAUAACAAUUAUUACAAGAAUCUUUGGAAGGAUUGAGUUUUGGUGCCAAUCUGGUGUACUGGUAUUUUCUUGAUACUGGUUAUCUUAAUCUAGGAUCUUUUUUGUGAUUUCGGUGGUUUUAGCUCCUUUUCCUUCAUAUUGCCGGUAUUUCUUCCUUGGUUCAACAGAUAUUGGUUUUGGUAUCAGGGUGGCUGUCAUUUGGUAAUUUCAACUUGUGGAUUAAGCUGUGAAAUUUUAAUGGUUUGAUAGAACCCCUCAAGACUCUCCUAUCUUAACAAAAACUUUGAAUAUCUUAUUUAUUUCCAUAAUCCUAACAUGAAGAGAUACUCAUUUCUUGACAUGAUGAUAGAUACAUAUGGACAACUAUACCAAGAAUCUUCUGAAGGACCGACUUUGGCAUAUUCUGGUACUUUCUUGAUACAGAUUAGUUGCAUCUUGGAUUGUUCUGAUGUUUUUUAGCCCCUUUUUACAUGUUAUGUGGGGUUUUUAUACAGGCUGCUGAAUAUUUUUGGUGUUUUCUUGGCUUCCCUAACAUUUUGGCUUUUUUGAAUUCGUUUCGGUUACUGGAUUAAGUGUGGGAAUUUAAAAUAGUUUGAUGGAGUUUUUCCUCCCGUGGAUUCUUGUAUUUUUUUGCAAGAUAUACUGAUUUUUUCAUUGUUUGAAGCAAAUGUGUAGAUACUGUGAUUUCCAACUAUGAAGAUAGAUAAAUAGUGCAAACCAUUACAAGAAUCUUUAGAAAGAUUGGGUUGAGUCCGUUCUUGGAUCUUGUAUAUUUUCUGAAUCUUUUUGCAAAUAUAAUGCAAUAUCCGGGUAUGUGUUAAACAUAUUGAGGCCAUUAAGUUGUCCAGAAAUGGUUAUUUGCUUCGCAAGUUAAUGCAAUAUACUAAAUCCUUAUGGUGAGUUACUUGCAGGAAAUAAAUUCACAAGUAUAUAAAUUCUGGGCGAUUGCUCAUACAGAAUUACAGAUGACUUUUGGUUCUGAUUCCAUCAGUUUUUGCUCAUACAGAAUUACAGAUGACUUUGGUUCUGGUUCCAUCAGUUUUCCAUUAGGCGGUCUCUUAUUUUUCUCGGGAUAUUUUCAAGACUAAAGGUGUAAAUCAGAAUUAAAUGUUGCACUUCUGUUAGUAUCACAAAUUUGUAUAUUUUGCAAGCUGUUUGUAGUAUAAGGCAGUUAUGAAGCGAAAUCUAGUUAUUAUUUACCGUGGUUUAUAAAGUAUAUUUUAAAAUGCAGAUAAUAUUUUGGAGGAAACGAUUGGAGGAGGUGUGACAAAUUAUAAAGGAUUUUGUGAUGCCUUCUAUGUGGUCAUGAACUUUGAUAAACUUUUCCCGCUCCUUGAUUCUGGUUAAUUUUUCCCACAUUUCUCUGAGGAAACUUCAGAGAGCAGAGGUAUCUUUUUUUCUUGGAAACUUCUAAAUGGUUUUCAGGAUGAUGGUGAAGCAAUAUCUUUACAUGUUUGCUCUUUAUUUUUUAUUUUAUUUAUUUUUAAAAUUUUCAGUUGCUCGGAAUGUGAUCUUGACUCUUAUGUGAAUCCAGUUUUCUUCCGUGCUUCUUCAUCUGCUUGUGGAAAUCCUUGUGGUCAAAGAUAAUGGAUAUUAAUGGAACAUGGGUGUAAGAUUUUCGUUUGGCUUUUUCUUGUUCAUUUCUGUUUCUGCAGUCUUGUUUUUUGUUUUGGGGGAGUUCAGGUGGAGAUUGAUCAUUUUUCAUGGGGUGGUGUGAAGGGAAAAUUAUUCGACGUUAACUUGUGCCUACAUUUGCAUUGGUGGUUCCCCCUCUCUAGCAUAGCUAUAUUUGCAUUGGUGGUUCCCCCUCUCUAGCAUAGAUGAAUGAAGCAUAGAUUGUAGACUUUUUUAGGUCUUCUCGUAUAAAAUGCCUUGGGAACUUGAUCUUUCUCCAUGUGCAGACAGAUUGACACGAAGUGGACAAUGCUUAUAGGAAAACUAUUGAGAUUUGAGUUUUUGCUUGUUUUGCUUUACAAAUUAUAUGGCUGUCCACCUUUCUAAGCAAGUCAUGAUCAACUUUUCCUCUCCUUGAUGGUCUUGUUUUUUCCGUUAUUUCUUGCCACCCCAUUGAUGCAACAAGGAUUUUAUUAAAAGUUUAUUCAAGGCGAAAGACUAAUAAUUAGUAGAAUUCGAGUUUAUUUAGUAGUUUUAUUUUGAUAAUGUGUUCCUCCUUAUUUCUUAUUGUUCCUUAUCAAUUUGUAUGCUUCUGCAUCACCCAUAUUUCAAAUCAAGUUGGAAAUCCGAAAGCACUUUGGAUUUAGCAUCACAUAGCAAUUUAAAAUAUGCAUUAAAUUAUUAUUAUUGUUAUUAUUAUUAUUAUUAUUAUUAUUAGUAUUAGUAUUAUUCAGGUUGAUCAAAUUCUUCCCGCAUGCAUUUUUGUUCUAGUGAGUGUAAAUGGGGCAUGUUGACAAAUACUUAAGAAUCUUUGGAUCAGGGUUUUUUGGUUCCAUUGUCUGUAGGCGUUAAUUGAGGCCAUUAAUUGUUCCUGAAAUGGCGGUUCACUCCUAGGUAAUAUCACUAAAUCCUUAGUCAGUGCAUGAAAUAUAUAAAUCCUGGGUGUUGCUCAUACAUAUAACUUCGGUUUUGGUUCCAUCAGCUUUAGCCAGCACCUUGUUACUGAGGGGAUAUUUCCAAAAAUAAAGGUUUAAUAUCAGAAUUAAGUGUUGCAUGUUGGAUCUCCUUUCUCAAAUACGUCUGUCAUGUAAGCUUAGUGUUUGAAGUACAAUGCAGUUCUGAAGCAUAUUUAUUUGCUGCAGUUUAUACGUUGUUUUGAAUAUGGUGUUUUUCAAAUGCAGAAAUUUGUAGGAAUCCUUGGAGAAAAGACAAGAUUUUGUCCUCAUGUUUUUGAUUUGCAUUAAUAGAAUUUGAUGUCUCUUUUUAGAUGAUGGUAUCCUAUCAUUGUCAAUCUUUUUAUGCCUGAUUCUCUUACUAUACCUAGAUUUUCAUCCCCUAUUUAUUCCCCCUCGCUCAGAUUUUCUCUGUAAAUUGAGUUGUGAAGUUUUCAGUUUGUUUAUGAUAUGGAGUUGUUGGACUCGAAUUUGCAGCUUGAAUCUACGUAUUUGGUUUAAAUACUAUGACCUCGACUUCCCUCGUAAAAAUAAAUGGGCAGUUGUUGACUGGAAAGUGGUGUUACAGCGUAGGUGAAGAAUUGUUUUGUUAAGGACGAAGAUUUUGUCUGGUCUUUAUUUUUCAUGUUCUCAGCAGUCCCAGUUUGUCUUUCGGGGGAGUUCAGAUGGAUUGGUCAUUUUGUAGGGUAGCACGAAGGGAUACUUAUUCUUUGUUAACUGCAGCUACAUUUGCAGUGGUGAUUUCUUCCAACCUGUUCCAAUAUCUGCUCUACAUGAAUGAACUGUAUACUUUUUGACGUCUUUUUAUAUAUAAUGCCUCAGGUUCUUUGAUGCAUGUGCCUGACAGAUUGACAUGAAAAGGGCAGUGCGUGAUAGGAAUACUAAUGUCUAAGUUACUGUGUUUUUGCUUCCUGAUAUUUUGGCCUUUCUGAAGGAGUUUGUCCUGUCUGUCUUUCUAACAAGUCAUGAUGCUGUCCAUCUAUUUCAGUCUGUUGUUUGCUAAUACACUUGUUCAGAUUUGCAUCUUUCCUCUGGUGAAUUAGGUUAAUAUUUUAGGUAUGCAUUUGUACAAGAGCCUUUGGGGCGUUGGUAUUCCAUGUGCAGACAAAGAUUCUUUGAGGAUGAUAAAAUAUUUUUUUGAUUGUUACACCACAAAGAGAAUGCAUGGGAUUCUUGGAGUGAGAGUGAACACAGCUUCUGCUGCUGGAGGCCGUUUAGAUACUGAAAAUAUUUUCAAUGGUCUGGUGGACUCUACACCCUACCUUAACUCUCUUUCUGCCAAUUGACUACAUCAGAUUAACAUAUUUUUUUCUCCACUAUUGUUGAGUUCAUGGAUUUCUUUUGCCCUGGUAGUUAGACGUUGCCUUAUAGACUUUUUAACCCUUGUGGGUAGCUUUGUGUUUUAUUAGAAUUGUGAAGUUAGGUUGCAAACCCAAGUGCAGGUUGCAAGUAGUAAACUCGGAAGUCCGAGGUCGAACCACAGGGAAUUGGAAGGAAAUAAACUAGUCUAUGAGUAGUGAAUAGCGAGGAAAUACGAUGGAGAAGUCUAGCGUUGGGGGAUUCACUUCGGCUAAAUGGGUAGAAAUUGCUCUUAAUCUUUUAUUUAACUCAUAUGGAAAUCAACUAAGGAGUGAUC